Molecule: non-coding RNA, 282 nt
Organism: Pelobates cultripes (western spadefoot toad)
Lineage: Eukaryota; Metazoa; Chordata; Amphibia; Anura; Pelobatidae
Source: the annotation of a GenBank genome assembly
AGUCAAACACAUUUCAUUUAGCAUUCAAGGAUACUAUUUCAGCAGUAUUUUAGCAUUUUAGAAUAAACUAAACACUUACAUCAUAAUAAAAACUUCAAGAGAACUUUAGCAAAGGGACAUCGUUUGGUCUCUACCCUGCCUUAAUAUGUAUAAAUAGUUAUUAAACAUCUGCAGGAAAAUGUUAGUAGCAUAGAAACUUAUAAUAAUUUCUGUUAUAUUAGCAAUACUGCUUGAGAUAUUUCUCCUUGGACAUUCUUAAAUAGAGCUAGAGGGAACUAUAUU